GGACAUUCUGCAGGUUGGUUAUCAGGCAAAAGGCCUCUCCCUGCUGAGUUCCCGCACUGCCAAGUUUCCCGCUUCAACCACUAUAUGAGGUCUCUGAGAAAAAUAAAAUUUUGCAGCUUGAUCACAAAACCUGUCUUGCUGUCGUUUCUCUUGUCUCUUUGAUCCAUCAUUCCAGGUACUCUGGUGCUGCAACACAUCGGUGUGUGAGCUCACUUGGUGUCCUGCUGGCCGGGGAACUUUUGAACAUAGAACAUGGUAAUUGAUGUGGACCUAUUUGCAUUCUUCUACAUGCUGACAUCCAGUUAGACAGCACCAAUUGUUGAAGAUACUUUCUUUGUUCCUGUGUGAAUGUCUGGAUUCUAAUAAAAAAAUUAGUUGUCCACAGCUAAAUCUUUGAUGCAUUGGCAGAGUCACCUACCCACUACACUACGGGGAAGCCUUCCAAAGCAGAUACUCAACUGCCAGCUGUCCCACCAAGGCCACCCUCAGUCACUGCUUGCUCCUUGCCCUGCUCCCCACCAGCAACCCUUGCUUCCUCAAAGAUCCCUAACUGCUUCUUUCUUCCUCCGCCGCGGACUCGCCCGUCUCUAAGUAGGCAAAAAGCCCAGGGAGCUCUCUUUUGUUUAGUUUCAGAGUUUAAUCCGACGUUUUAGUCAAAUAAAGAUCCGGAAAUCGAAUCGCUCAGCCCUUGAGUGCAAACGCCUCUUUCCUUUCCGUUUUGGAGUUCCCGUGGGUUCCUCAGAAGUGAGAGCGACAGCCUGUGCGCACAACAG
RNAcentral lists this long non-coding RNA (773 nucleotides) under Cricetulus griseus (Chinese hamster). Its description in RNAcentral is "lncRNA (ENSCGRG00015041883.1)". The record is from RNAcentral. Lineage: Eukaryota; Metazoa; Chordata; Mammalia; Rodentia; Cricetidae.